CCUUAGGCUCCGGUAGACUGCAAAUGACCUGCUUUCUUUCUGUUCCCGGGCUGCGUUUGGACCCCUGUCGGAUAGUAAAUCCCAAGUAAGGUACCUGCCCUCGGCAGAUUUGAGCUUUCUUCUUGGACACCUAAUACCCACAGUCCCCCAGGCUCCGGUAGACUGCAAAUGACCUGCUUUCUUUCUGUUCCCGGGCUGCGUUUGGACCCCUGUCGGACAGUAAAUCCCAAGUAAGGUACCUGCCCUCGGCAGAUUUGAGCUUUCUUCUUGGACACCUAAUACCCACAGUCCUCCAGGCUGUAGAUGAAGGGGUUCAGCAUGGAGGUGAUCACCGUGUACAUCACUGAGGCCACUGCAGCCUUUCUCGGGGAAGAUGACACAUCUGAACUGAGGUACCCUCCAAAGCCUGUUCCGUAAAAUCAGCAAACAACUGACAGGAUAACUUCAGGAAGUGGGUAUUAAUUCUCACGGUAUAAGUGAAGACAUUAAGCACCAGAGUUUAAGUAGCUUGAUCCACUGAAAGAGAUUCAACUGUGUGGAACCUAUGCCGUGGAGAAUUGCUUUCUGCCAUUGUUAUCGUCCAGCAGUUGCCGAAUAGCUCUGACCUGAGCAAAGCAGUGAAACGCGGUGCUGUUGAGUGGGUUGCCACUGCACCUUUUUCAACUACUCUAGUCUUGUGGAGAAAAUACCCCUUCUAAAUUUUUUCUUCAUUGAAUACUCUCCCUCAGCUCCAGAGUACCAUAUAGAGUUUUCUUGUAUUUUAGAGUUACUGUUUUAUCAAAGUUUACCAGUCUUUUGUAUUACAUUUCUCCUGUCUAAA
This 820-nucleotide long non-coding RNA is filed under the name Homo sapiens (human). RNAcentral describes it as "long intergenic non-protein coding RNA 1198". Lineage: Eukaryota; Metazoa; Chordata; Mammalia; Primates; Hominidae. The record is from RNAcentral.